AUACGUAGGGGGCGGGCGUUGUCCGGAAUGAUUGGGCGUAAAGGGCGCGUAGGCGGCGCGGUAAGUCUGGAGUGAAAGUCCUGCUUUCAAGGUGGGAAUUGCUUUGGAUACUGCCGCGCUUGAGUGCAGGAGAGGUAAGUGGAAUUCCCAGUGUAGCGGUGAAAUGCGUAGAGAUUGGGAGGAACACCAGUGGCGAAGGCGACUUACUGGACUGUAACUGACGCUGAGGCGCGAAAGUGUGGGGAGCAAACAGGAUUAGAUACCCUGGUAGUCCACACUGUAAACGAUGAAUGCUAGGUGUAUGGGGUAUCGACCCCUUCUGUGCCGCAGUCAACACAAUAAGCAUUCCGCCUGGGGAGUACGGCCGCAAGGUUGAAACUCAAAGGAAUUGACGGGG
Molecule: ribosomal RNA, 397 nt
Filed under: uncultured bacterium
Lineage: Bacteria
Description: partial 16S ribosomal RNA
Rfam family: Bacterial small subunit ribosomal RNA
Source: RNAcentral